UUAACCUAAUAUAAGAAUGUGUUAAUAUUAGAGCUUAGAGCGCGAUGACUUUAGCGAUGCCUAGUCUAAUUCUGCUAUGAGCUGUUGUCCUUUUUUUUCAAAAAGGAAAAGGAUAUAUACCAAAUGGCGGCCGAUUCCGUUCCCUCUACGCCACUAUACUAGAAGUCUUGCGUAUUUGCCAGGCUACCGUACGUAUUCACAGAACUGUUGUAAGCGAGAACCGCAACUGACUGUACAAAAAGCGUUUGGUUCAAGUUCUUGCAACUCGGGGAGCGGUUACAGCAGAUGUCAGAGAUUAUCGACAUGCGGGGAGUGUACGGAGCAACAACUUUCCGAUUUGUGAGUAGUUUGCUUGUUUCAGGCCUAGCGUCACAAAUUCUGUAAUGAAUCAAGACGUAGAGGAGGCUACAGGUCACAGUAAGACACUCAGACCAGAGUCUGCACUACACAGCUGUGUGACCAUGAAGAAUGACCAGGACAUGGAUGAUCCUGUAAAUAUGAGCAGCACAUCAACACAGACCAAUGCAGGACCACAGACAAACAGACCUUCAUCUCCAGUGCCCACCUGCGUGUCUAUGAAGAGUGACAACUCCAUGCGUAAUCCUCCUGAUAUGAGCAGUGGGUCAGCCCCAUCAGCUCUAAAACCACAGACAAACAGACCUUCAUCUCCAGUGCCCACC
Long non-coding RNA from Clupea harengus (Atlantic herring), 680 nucleotides. RefSeq lists it as uncharacterized. The transcript is spliced from 4 exons. The record is from RefSeq and is a predicted model, not a curated record. Lineage: Eukaryota; Metazoa; Chordata; Actinopteri; Clupeiformes; Clupeidae.